Molecule: ribosomal RNA, 253 nt
Filed under: uncultured bacterium
Lineage: Bacteria
Description: partial 16S ribosomal RNA
Rfam family: Bacterial small subunit ribosomal RNA
Source: RNAcentral
UACGUAGGGUGCGAGCGUUAAUCGGAAUUACUGGGCGUAAAGCGUGCGCAGGCGGUUUCACAAGCUAGAUGUGAAAGCCCCGGGCUUAACCUGGGAAUGGCAUUUAGGACUGUGGAGCUCGAGUGCGGCAGAGGGAGGUGGAAUUCCACGUGUAGCAGUGAAAUGCGUAGAGAUGUGGAGGAACACCGAUGGCGAAGGCAGCCUCCUGGGCCGACACUGACGCUCAUGCACGAAAGCGUGGGGAGCAAACAGG